Molecule: long non-coding RNA, 687 nt
Organism: Arabidopsis thaliana (thale cress)
Lineage: Eukaryota; Viridiplantae; Streptophyta; Magnoliopsida; Brassicales; Brassicaceae
Product: other RNA
Exons: 1
Source: RefSeq
UUGUUUCUCUGUAUAAAAGGCGUGAGAAAGUAAUCACACAUUCAUUAUCAACUUCUCUAGGGUUCUUUAGAUCUCCGCCGAUUAGCUUCUCUGUUUUUCAUUUUUCAUCUUCUUCUUCUGGUUUAAAACUUUUGUUUUUGGUAAAAGUAAUGGACAGUGACGAUUGAUAUUAAGGUCUCGUUCGUCGUAAAAACGGCCGUAAAAAGCCUAUUUGCCGACCAUUCUGUUAUAUCACCACCCAUAUUCUGAGUCCUAUUGAUUUUUGUUUUUCAAUCUUUUUCUAAUCGAUUUUUUGGCCAAUGAUUUAAUCAAAAUUGACAAGCAUAUGUCUGAAUUAAUCCUUGUUGAUAAACUCUAAUCUUCUCUAUGAGGCCUUUUUUCAAUUACCUUUCAAAUCCGAUUUCGUAUUUAUUUCUUUGGUUCUGUUUUUGGUUGAUUUAGUGGCCUAUGAUUUAAAUGAUUAUAGACAAGCAUAUGUCUGAAUUAAUCCUUGUUGAUAAAUCUAAUCUUCUCUAUGAGGUCUAAAUCCGAUUUUGUUUUUUGGUUAUUGGUUUUAAAAUUGUCUUGGAUUUAUUUGAUGAGAAAAGAGGAAAUUGAAAGGGAUCAAGUGAUGAUUGAUAACGCAUAGUUCAGAUGAUAAAUUCUAUUAUGAUUAACAUCUUCAGCAUAGUCUUUCGCUCCUAUCUG